CUGUAUAGCCCAUAUGUAGUUGCACUUAAGCCAGUUCAACUUCAGGACUUCUAAAUAGAGAGGUGACUAUUGAGGUUGUCUGUUGAACUGGAGCUCUCAGCAGACCUGUAAGAAGGCACACAACACUAUCAGGAUUCCUGAAGUCUUCUCUGACCUGGGUAGUGCUAUAAAACAUCCUACAAUUGGCUUCUAAAACAUGACAUUCGAUUGUAAGGCAAAUCCUUGCAGUGAGUAAACACAGGACUUCUGUGGAGCCAAAAGCUGCAAAAAGUAUGUUUCUACACAACAUAAGGAAUCAGAUGUCAUCAUCUUUCCUCUCGUACUUCAGGCCUGACUUGAAAGUUGGGCACUUUCCAAGGCAUUAGCUCACUUCCCCAGCAAGACCUAGGGUGCACUGCACUAGCCAAGAGAGCUCAGCUUUCUAACACCCAUUAAUACUGGUCACAACUGUUUAUGCAUUCCAGCUAACUCUUUUAUGGCCAAGACACUACCAAGAUAUAGGAUACUGCUUUGUGGAGUUCAGCCAGUGUGAAAAUGAGAUGUUACUAUGCUUUUCUCACCAAAUGAGGUCUCCUAUCAAUUCUUCACUGAGCACUUUGCAUCAUUUCACAGGAAUACAUUGCAUUGUUUCAGUUACAAAUUACUGAUUCACAUGAUAUUGAUAUCCCAAUUGUGAUAUGAGAACUUCAAAAGAAUGUGAUGAACCUUUCUGAACAACAAGCCAAAGGAAAAAAAAAAAAUAACAUGCCCAAAUAAUCAUAAAAUGCAUACAUCCUAUGCAAAAGGGCUGAGGUAAGAAAAUUCAUGAGUUAUCCAUGAGCGGGUGAGGAUCAUCACUCCACUGAAGGUUAGGUCAGAGCUGAGCAGUAGUGCCUUAGGGCAACCAGUGUCAGAUGUUGGAUGCUCAGCUGGUUCACUUCGUCCUACAGCUGGGGGUUCACAGGGUUCAGCAGCUUCCCAUUUACCACAGUGCCACUGGCAGUUACUAGAGCUGCGUUUGAUCUAUUUGUAGACAUACACAAGACACAUACACAAGACACACAGAAGGGUCAUCUGUGAUUUUUGUGUUGCUCAUUUAAUUCAAUGAGUAUCUUGCCUGCAGAAGAAACACAGGACCACCCCAAACCAAUGAUGUUCCAUAGGGUCUGUUUUCAAAUCAGUGAGCUGUAUCAGAUUGGGUUUGGCACAAGAAUAAGGGUAGUCAGGAUAUAGGAAUGGAACUUCUACUUUUAAAAGUAGAAGUUGU
This is a long non-coding RNA of Cygnus olor (mute swan), 1246 nucleotides long. RefSeq lists it as uncharacterized. The transcript is spliced from 3 exons. The record is from RefSeq and is a predicted model, not a curated record. Lineage: Eukaryota; Metazoa; Chordata; Aves; Anseriformes; Anatidae.